GACGAACGCUGGCGGCGUGCUUAACACAUGCAAGUCGAACGGAAAGGUCUCUUCGGAGAUACUCGAGUGGCGAACGGGUGAGUAACACGUGGGCGAUCUGCCCUGCACUUCGGGAUAAGCCUGGGAAACUGGGUCUAAUACCGGAUAGGACCACGGGAUUCAUGUCCUGUGGUGGAAAGCUUUUGCGGUGUG
RNAcentral lists this ribosomal RNA (192 nucleotides) under Mycobacterium marinum. RNAcentral describes it as "partial 16S ribosomal RNA". It matches the Rfam family "Bacterial small subunit ribosomal RNA", at positions 28 to 222 of the family's 1533-position model. The record is from RNAcentral. Lineage: Bacteria; Bacillati; Actinomycetota; Actinomycetes; Mycobacteriales; Mycobacteriaceae.